UGGGGAAUUUUCCGCAAUGGGCGAAAGCCUGAUCCAGCCAUGCCGCGUGAGUGAUGAAGGCCCUAGGGUUGUAAAGCUCUUUCAGUGGGGAAGAUAAUGACGGUACCCACAGAAGAAGCCCCGGCUAACUUCGUGCCAGCAGCCGCGGUAAUACGAAGGGGGCUAGCGUUGUUCGGAAUUACUGGGCGUAAAGCGCACGUAGGCGGAUUGAUCAGUCAGGGGUGAAAUCCCGGGGCUCAACCCCGGAACUGCCUUUGAUACUGUCAGUCUUGAGUUCGAGAGAGGUGAGUGGAAUUCCGAGUGUAGAGGUGAAAUUCGUAGAUAUUCGGAGGAACACCAGUGGCGAAGGCGGCUCACUGGCUCGAUACUGACGCUGAGGUGCGAAAGCGUGGGGAGCAAACAGGAUUAGAUACCCCUGUAGUCC
This 424-nucleotide ribosomal RNA is filed under the name uncultured prokaryote. Its description in RNAcentral is "bacterial SSU rRNA". It matches the Rfam family "Bacterial small subunit ribosomal RNA", at positions 355 to 796 of the family's 1533-position model. The record is from RNAcentral.